Molecule: non-coding RNA, 579 nt
Organism: Solanum lycopersicum (tomato)
Lineage: Eukaryota; Viridiplantae; Streptophyta; Magnoliopsida; Solanales; Solanaceae
Source: RefSeq, a predicted model, not a curated record
UUUUGUGACGCUUCUCUCUGAAGUUUUACCUAAACAAUUUUAUUUCUUCUAACUUUUUACUAUUCACUGCUAAAGUUCCACACUGAUUCCUUCUUCUUCUUCGGCAAUGAACUUUAUGCAGUUAUAACUCAUCUAGCUACGGCAAUGUUCAUCUUUCGUCUAGACGAUUAUGAUCUUAAUUUUAUGUUGAUGAAGUAUACUGGUAAGUUCUAUGAGGUAAAAGCAAACUGCUCUUCAUGAUAGAUUAGAGGAUGAAACAACUUUAUCUUUAACAUCUCAUCAGGAUCAUUUACCAAAAACAAAGACGUAGUAAUGAGGAUCAGCAUCCAAGCACCGUUGAUCCAAUUGAGAACUCUAGAGUCAGUUGGUGAGCCUCCUUGCACCGUUGAUGUUGUGGGGUUUGUCCAAACAUCAAUCUCAGACUUUUAGAGUCUUCAUAGACAUAUAAUAGUUCAGUAGUUUUUACAUUUCCAUUCUUAUGUUGAAGACUUCGGUUGCAAUUUUGGCCAAGUUGAAUGUUUAAAUCAUUAAGACAUUCCCAAUUAGUUUAUUAUUCAGUUUAGAUAAGUUCUUUUAUAA